Molecule: ribosomal RNA, 480 nt
Filed under: uncultured bacterium
Lineage: Bacteria
Description: partial 16S ribosomal RNA
Rfam family: Bacterial small subunit ribosomal RNA
Source: RNAcentral
GAUGAACGCUAGCGGCAGGCCUAACACAUGCAAGUCGAGGGGUAGAAGGAGCUUGCUCCUUUGAGACCGGCGCACGGGUGCGUAACGCGUAUGCAAUCUACCUUGUACAGGGGAAUAGCCCAGAGAAAUUUGGAUUAAUGCCCCAUAGUAUAUAACCUUCGCAUGUUGGUUAUAUUAAAGUUCCAACGGUACAAGAUGAGCAUGCGUCCCAUUAGUUAGUUGGUAAGGUAACGGCUUACCAAGACGAUGAUGGGGAGGGGUCCUGAGAGGGAGAUCCCCCACACUGGUAACGAGACACGGACCAGAAUCCUACGGGAGACAGCAGUGUGGAAUAUUGGUGAAUGGUCGCAAGACUGAACAAGCCAUGCCGCGUGCAGGAAGACGGUCCUAUGGAUUGUAAACUGCUUUUAUACAAGAAGAAACCCUCCCACGUGUGGGAGCUUGACGGUACUGUAAGAAUAAGGAUCGGCUAACUCCGUG